RNAcentral lists this ribosomal RNA (654 nucleotides) under Salmonella enterica. RNAcentral describes it as "partial 23S ribosomal RNA". It matches the Rfam family "Bacterial large subunit ribosomal RNA", at positions 1 to 688 of the family's 2925-position model. The record is from RNAcentral. Lineage: Bacteria; Pseudomonadati; Pseudomonadota; Gammaproteobacteria; Enterobacterales; Enterobacteriaceae.
GGGUUGUGAGGUUAAGCGACUAAGCGUACACGGUGGAUGCCCUGGCAGUCAGAGGCGAUGAAGGGCGUGCUAAUCUGCGAUAAGCGCCGGUAAGGUGAUAUGAACCGUUAUAACCGGCGAUACCCGAAUGGGGAAACCCAGUGUGAUUCGUCACACUAUCAUUAACUGAAUCCAUAGGUUAAUGAGGCGAACCGGGGGAACUGAAACAUCUAAGUACCCCGAGGAAAAGAAAUCAACCGAGAUUCCCCCAGUAGCGGCGAGCGAACGGGGAGGAGCCCAGAGCCUGAAUCAGCAUGUGUGUUAGUGGAAGCGUCUGGAAAGGCGCGCGAUACAGGGUGACAGCCCCGUACACAAAAGCGCAUGUGCUGUGAGCUCGAUGAGUAGGGCGGGACACGUGGUAUCCUGUCUGAAUAUGGGGGGACCAUCCUCCAAGGCUAAAUACUCCUGACUGACCGAUAGUGAACCAGUACCGUGAGGGAAAGGCGAAAAGAACCCCGGCGAGGGGAGUGAAAAAGAACCUGAAACCGUGUACGUACAAGCAGUGGGAGCCUCUUUUAUGGGGUGACUGCGUACCUUUUGUAUAAUGGGUCAGCGACUUAUAUUCUGUAGCAAGGUUAACCGUAUAGGGGAGCCGGAGGGAAACCGAGUCUUAAU